RNAcentral lists this ribosomal RNA (497 nucleotides) under uncultured bacterium. Its description in RNAcentral is "partial 16S ribosomal RNA". It matches the Rfam family "Bacterial small subunit ribosomal RNA", at positions 28 to 507 of the family's 1533-position model. The record is from RNAcentral.
GACGAACGCUGGCGGCGUGCCUAAUACAUGCAAGUAGAGCGCUGAAGAGAGGAGCUUGCUCUUCUUGGAUGAGUUGCGAACGGGUGAGUAACGCGUAGGUAACCUGCCUGGUAGCGGGGGAUAACUAUUGGAAACGAUAGCUAAUACCGCAUAAAAUGGAUUAUCGCAUGAUAAUCCAUUGAAAGGUGCAAAUGCAUCACUACCAGAUGGACCUGCGUUGUAUUAGCUAGUUGGUGGGGUAACGGCUCACCAAGGCGACGAUACAUAGCCGACCUGAGAGGGUGAUCGGCCACACUGGGACUGAGACACGGCCCAGACUCCUACGGGAGGCAGCAGUAGGGAAUCUUCGGCAAUGGACGGAAGUCUGACCGAGCAACGCCGCGUGAGUGAAGAAGGUUUUCGGAUCGUAAAGCUCUGUUGUAAGAGAAGAACGAGUGUGAGAGUGGAAAGUUCACACUGUGACGGUAUCUUACCAGAAAGGGACGGCUAACUACGUG